Molecule: long non-coding RNA, 4037 nt
Filed under: Triticum aestivum (bread wheat)
Lineage: Eukaryota; Viridiplantae; Streptophyta; Magnoliopsida; Poales; Poaceae
Description: long non-coding RNA (TAES_LNC011149)
Source: RNAcentral
AUGUCUUCAUGGUGCUUGCCGAGGAGCAGGGUCGUUGAGGAAAAGUGGUGGUUGGGGAGGAGGACUCCCUUGUCCUUGGUGUCCGGGCCGCCAUGGCUGACGCCGGAGCCGUUGGCUGGCCUUGAGGUCGUCAGUCGUUUGCGUCCUCGUCAUCAAUCCAACAACCAGGUCCUCGAUCCAUCUGCGGCCGCUGCACCUCCACAGUACGGCCGCCGCCUUUUUGUUUCCCUCUUGUGUUCAUCAUCUCAGAAAUUUUAUUGGCACUGGAUCAUGCGGGAGGAGAUCCCUGAGGCAUUUGGUUCUUGUGGGAUUCUCACACAUCUUGCAAGAUCAACAACAAGUGGCUGAGUCUUUACAUUAUUCAGAAAAUCUAUUUUUAUCUUUCAUUUAUUUGUCUAAUUUAUGUGCCCGUGUCCUUGCCUCCGUUUCGCUCUUAUUGAAGUUCCAACGAAUUUCUGUGCUACAUAAGAAGUACUAAUGCUAAUAUAUUACAAUUUGGUAUCCACAACCUUCAGUCACGGGAUCUUGAGAAAAGCACAUUAGGCAUUUUGUUUGUGUCAACUAUACAGAAUCUGCAAAGCCUUUUUUUUGUGCAGAAAAAUUCACACUCUGCAUUAGUUGCAAAGAUACUGAUUUUGAUCUUAACAAUUAUAGUUGUUGUUCAAGCAGUAGGAGAUCUGGCAACCUCACGGGCAUCUCAUUCAGAAUUCACGUCCUAUCUUCAGAGUUUAGCUUAGCGUAUUUUUUAUUUUCUGCUUUAAAUUAUUUUCCUCAUGUGACACAAAAGGCUUGAAGCCUUCUCUUAACUCACACUUCUAUGCUAACUGAACUUAUUUCUGGUUGUAAGAUGAGUUCAUAGCGAAGCAGGCCAACAUCUUCGUUGCACUGCAUCGACUGCAUAUGACACAAAAAUUGGUGUUCAAGCACACAGCUGCUGUAUUUUGUAAAUCGUGACGUGUUCAUAUGAUUUUGUUUACUGAAGGUAUUAGUUUUUUCGAAGCCUUUUUGUCUACAACUUUGCUACUUCAAAUUUUUUUGUCAGCCAGAGACGCUCAUGGUUCUAUCUGCUGUCUACUUUUACUAAAAGUUCAAAUACUUGCUGUUAGUAUGAAUGAUCUUUCGCUACUUUAAGUUUUUGUUAUGGUCUUGUGUGCCGAUUCAUGAUUUAAACACUCAAAAUGUCUGGUUCGCAUAUUUGUGCCUAGCCCUAUUACCAGCAGUGUAUUUUUUUGCCGAAAGAAAGAUAACAGUGCUUUGUUUCUUUAACUUUUCGGCCGUGUCUAAUUUCUCGUAAAAGAGAGAAUUUGAUAGAGACAGACAACCUGAAGAUCUGUGAACGUUCGAGUGUGCAACCUCCUCGCCGCUGCUGUUGCGUAGCUGGCAGCAGUAUGUGGCUGCUGCCGAGAUAUGUGCAGUUUACUCUAGGUUUGGUGAUGGUUUUGAAAAACACCUGUCAACGAAUUUAGUAGCAUUGUGGGAUGAUAAACCAAUUUUUUCUGUUUUCUUUGCUCACAGAGUAAGAAUAUGCGUGCAAGUUCUUUUCCCUAGGAUGUAAUUUCUUUUGCUGAGAUCGAUUAAGCCUGGGUCAAGGUGGCUGUUGCCGGUUGCCCAAUACUUGUUUGUUGUAAUGCCUUACUCAGUGAGAUUUCUUUUCUUGUUGCCUAUACUCAGAGGUUCUGCUUGAAGAUUCUCUAAUCACUUUCUUUGUUUUUUUUUGCUAAGAUCUACUUCCAGUUUACUUCAAUGUUACUAGACUUAAAAUGUACUAUCUAGCAUACUAGCACAUGUGUAGAUGAUGCCUCCUUUUAUCCUUAAAUGUAUGGAAAAUGGUGUUGUUUUCCCAUCGUUAUGUUUAACAGAAGUGAUGCUAUGUUGUCAUAUUCAAACUAUAUUUCUUUUUUGCAGUAUCUUGGAAGGGGUCAUUAUUUUGAUACUUGCUUUAUAGGAAUUCACUUUCUUUGCCUAGAACUUGUGAUUUAUGGCUGAUGCCAAUUCCACCUAUGUAGGUGCUUCGCAAUUAUAGGUGGAAAAUUUGGCAUGGAGGCACAUAGGAUUGCUGAUUUUGUUUUUGGAUUGGCCCUUGCGAGGGAGACCGAAGCAAACUCCAACAGGUUUCAGGUGUGCAUCCUCUAUUCCUGGUGUUUGUUUCCCUAGCUGACCCUGAGAAUUGUACAAUUUGGUAAAUAUAGUUAGUUACUUAGUUUACUGGCAGUUGCCAUAGUCAGAGCGCGUACAAGUUUGGUUUUACGUAGGUUAGUAGAUGUCAUUCAGUAAUCAGUGAAAAUUAGGACUGAAGAAAGUGUGCCUCCCUAUUUUGUGCAGAUAAAUGCUUAAGGUAGUCGUAGUGUGACCAAAUUAAGUAAACUUAUACAAUAAGCUUCUUUAUUGUUACACUUGUGGAAACUAAACUGCUGCUGUAUCGGUUGUUCUUUUGCAUUUUUCCUCUGCAAAGAUAUAUAUUAACGUACAAACAGUGCGCACAUGUUAGCCUUUUGUCCGCGAUGGCCGUAUUAGCAUGCCUAGCUACCAAGUAUAAAUAGUAUGUGCAUCACUUAGAAAUAGAGCAUCCCAGUGGAAUAUGGAUGAGGUAAGAAUUAGGAAAUUUCUCUCAUAUCUGACUGAUCUAUCGGAAAAACUGAUCUCCUACAAUGUAGAGUGAAUCUCACUAAAGAAAACCCUUCUGUAAAAUAUGUCCAAAUAUAAUAAAUAUUGCAGUUUAACCUCACCAUAAUAAUUAACAACUGCGAACUUCAAGGGACAUUUAUUACUACAGUUUUGGUAUGCCUGAGAUUUUUUUUUGUGAUCUUUGCUUGGAAAGAGGAAAAGGCAUAUUUAAAGACUCAGGUCAAAGGCUGAUCUGCUGUGUUUAUAUGGUUAUGGAUUUCUAAAAUUUCAUUUACCUAACAAUGGAUCUAUGCAGUGCAAUGUUCUGUAGUUUACUACACCUUACCAAUCUCCUUCCCUGUACAAAUGGUGCAAGUAUUUUAGAGAUCUCCACUUAGUGCAAAAGCCUGGUGACUAAUUUCUUUUUGCAUUGCAUACUUUUGAGUAACACAUUGGCUGUUGUAGCUUUUGUAUAUUUAUUUAUUUUCUAAAUAUGGACCCCCCCCCCUGCUCUAAAGGAGUACGAUUUGUAGCUGGCUAACUUAUAUAACACGCACACAUUACUCUGUUUUUCUAAUGAGUGUAUGUGGAUGCAUAAAAUAGUUGAGGAUCAAUUUCUAUUCUCUAUUUCUUUAGUGAGUAUAUGUGGAUGCAUAGAAACAAUUAUCUAUUUUUUUCAAGGAUAUAUGUUGAUGCAUGGAAAACGUGUAUGGUGCGUUUCAUUUCUGCUCAUCCUAAUCUAACCAAACUGACCCCAUGGAUUUGAGGUUGCCUUGCCUGCCAGGUUUGGACAUGUUCUUAUUUGUACUAAAUCACUAAACUAAAUUGUAUAAAUAAAAAAGACCCCCCUUGAUUAGUAACAUUCUGCAAGUGUAUUGUAACAUCCCAAAAUUCUAAAUUUUGGAAUGUUAUAAUAAAUAGAUAGAUUUGAUUGUUUGUUUGAUUGUUGUGUGAUUGAGUGAGUGAAUUUGAAACUUCUAAAAGUUAAAUGAGAGGGAAUAAAAGGACUUUCCCAAACUUUCAUUUUGCUUUUAUGAUCUCCGUGAAUUCAAAUUCUUUUCACCACAAAACCCUGGAGAGAAGAUGACAUGACUUCUUCCAUUUAUUUAAAUGACAAGGGGUGUUGAAAAUAUUUGAAUUUCAUUUGGAAAAUAUUUCCAACCCAGGAAUUUUAUGCAACUCAAUGACUUCCAGGAGAGAAGAUAAAAUGACUUCUUCAAAACAUAUGAAAUAUGAGUUGGGAGUUUCAAAGAAUUAAAUUCAAAGUUCUUUUGAAUUUAUUUUCAAUUUGGAGUUAUUGAGUUUUAUUCAAAUUAUUUUUCUCCAAAAAUAACAUAUAUGGAAAAUACGGUAACAUGAUUCCCUACAAUAGAAAAUUGGAGAGAAAUAAAUUUGAAAUCAUUUUGGUAUUUUUAAAAUGAUUUUUGUUGGAU